This 2798-nucleotide long non-coding RNA is filed under the name Lupinus angustifolius (narrow-leaved blue lupine). RNAcentral's name for it is "long non-coding RNA (LANG_LNC000447)". Lineage: Eukaryota; Viridiplantae; Streptophyta; Magnoliopsida; Fabales; Fabaceae. The record is from RNAcentral.
GUGGCCAUUGUUAUCCACAAAUAGCAAGUGUCCCAUCUAAUUGAGGAGCCAUGUGUAACAUUUCUUUUGUUUUGUAUGCGUCUUAACAUGCCGGUGUCACGUCAUUGAUCAAAUCUGACAACUGUCAAGUAGCAAUUAAUAUCAGGAAAAUGAUAUAUUAUCCUAUAAAUCAUUUUUCUUAUUAUUGAAUAAUAAACGACAUAUGUUACAAAGAUAUAAUUUAUUUAUUGAAGAUUAAUUUGUAACUUAUAAUUAAUAUAUAUCAUUUUUUUAAGGUUGGUUUAAUGAUAUAUCAUUCCUCUUUUAUUAAAUUUGAGAAACGUAAUUAUUAACUUUUAGCACCUAAUUAUUUUGGAAAAGACACGUGGGAAUUAUCUUAUAUUUUUAGAGAAUAUUAAGAAUUUGUUAUAUUAUUUACUUGUAGUAUAAAAUUUUGUUAUUAUUAAAUUUUAAAUAAAAUAGUACACAUAAAAGAAAAAUGAUAUACUAAACACCGAAAGUAUAUAGAUAAAUAAAUUCUUCUUAAAACUAGAAAAAAAAACCAACAGCAAGAUAAGCCACGGUAUUUGGAAAUAUGGUAAGAUGGAAGCGGCAACAAAAUCUUGAAUCUUGUAGUUUCUCACUUAUAUUGGGAACUUGCAAUUUGAGAUAGUUAUCAUGUCAUUUUCACCUUUUAAAGACAAAUUUCUUUUGUAAACAAUAUAUUAUAUUUAGAGACAAAUAUUUUUUUAAUCAUAUUAUUUAUGAUUAAAUUUUAAUUAAAAUUAAUUUUUUUUAUAUAUUAUUAAGAUUUUACUUAUUGUCUCUAUAUAUAUAUUCACAAAAGUCUUUCUCCCGACUAAUAUCUUGAAAAUCUCUUCAUUAAUAUACUACCGAGAAAGGAUGAAUGAGUGAAUUACAAAUGAAUCCAUGUGUAUACACACAUUCCAUCAUUCAAUUAUAAAGAAUUUAUAUGCAAUAUACUUUAUGAGCGAGUGUUUAUGAAGAGUAAAGAUUUGAUGUCUCAAAUUUAGAUUUAUCAUAGAUCAAUUGUGAAGCAAAAUUAAUAAUAAUAAUAAUAAUAAAUGUUAAAAUUUUACUUGAUAGGACAUAUUUUUAUUAUUGUGAUACAAAAUUUGAGUUAUAAUUUAGGAUAAUAUAUAUUUUUUGUUUGAGAACAGGUAGAGUGUUGUUUAGAGAUGGAUCACAUGUCAUCAUUCUUAUCUCACUUUAUAUCUUUAUUCAAUUAGAAAAUUUCAUUUAAUUAAAGAGAAAAUCAUAAUAACAUAAAUUAAUAUUUUUAUAUUAUUUUAUGAAGUUUAAUCGAUUAGGAAGAUCGAAAAAUAUUUUCUAGUGUAGGUGGAUGUGAGAUUUUGUACCAUAUACCCUAUUCAAAUAUGAUUGCCUUUUUGGAUGAUAUACUUGUAUAAUAAAAACAAUAUUUGUGUUUAGUUUAAGAUGGUUGAACAUCCUAAUAAAGUAUAAUUUUCUGGAAAAUGUUAUUUCUCUAUAUUAAUUUAUAAUUUUGACUAUUAAAAAUGUUUGAUUAUUUUGAAACUACGUGUAAGAGAUAAAUACCAUUUCAUUCAACCCAAAACCAAAUAACUUUCUCAAUUAUUUGAUCUCUCUUUAAGGCCUGUUUGUUUUGUUUCUAAAGAAAUGUGUUUAUGCAGAAACACUUUUUUUAGAAGCUAUAAAUAUGGCUUGCUGAAUUCUGCUUUUUUGUAGCUUUUGCUAUUUGUUAAGAGUGUUAGGUAUAAGUGGUCUAGACACACUUAGAAGAGGUUGAAUAGGUGUAGUGGUUAUUAAUUACCGCUUCUCACACCAAAACCCGGUUCUGAAAAACAACUCAGGUAAUCGAUUAAUCAGUGAGCUUAAUCGAUUUAACACGUAUCAGAAAUAGAAAGAUUGGUUUCUUGCACAGUUAUUUACUGUCAAACAAGCAGAGAUACAACAUAUAUUUUUAUGCACAAUUAACAACGAUAUGACAAAGUAGUAGUAUGCAAAAUAUUUAAUACACGAAUUAAAACAACUUGAAUUAUAAAAGACAUGAACAGAAAACAUCUUGUAUAAUAGCAUUUUUAUGAUGGUUCGUUUGUGUGUCCAAUUACAAACUACAUUCAUUCAGGCCUCCCUUCUGAUCUGAGAGAUUUCUCUUCACUAUAUUAAAACAUUUGUAUUGUUGCAUACACCAAUUCAAUUACAAGACUCUAGAGGCUUCUUUCUUAAAUUUCAAAAAACUCUAAUGGUUUGACUAUCCCUAUCCCUAUCGUCGAAGAAAACUUUUCUCGCGAUCCAGUCCAGCCAAGAUUUUUGCUCUAAAUUCAAGAGCUCCAAGCCUUGGUGAAGAUUCACUAAAUCCCAAUGGUGGUAAGACACCAAGAGAUUACAAAAAAUGUACAAAACAGUAUAAAAAAAACAGUUUUACUAAGCAUACUCACCAACAACCGCCAUCUCCAAACCAGGAAACAUAGUCAGUCACGUUCCCACGCCACCACUUGAUAUAUUAUGUGUAAUACUUUUGAUAAAGUGAGUGUUGUUGAUGUUACUUUUCUUAGUGAUUUUGAGGAAGAUUGUGGAAUUGGCGUGAAAUGGUGGUAUGGUGGUGGUGGUGGUUGUGGUGAGGUGAUGAUAUGUUAUGGAGGGAGGCGGCGGAGGUGGUACAUGUGGUGGUGGUGGGAUGAGAAUAGUAUGGCAAAGGUAUUUUGUGGUGGUCACUUAAGAAGGGGUAGGUUGAGGCUGGAUAAAGUCACGUAGGGUUGGGUAAGACAACAUUGGUUUUGUUAAUGAGAGUCAUUAGAAAAUUUGUUAAAAAAAUC